AUGCCUUCUUUAGAUAUCCUGAAACCAGUUAGUUCAAAAGUUGCAGGGUAUCUGUUCUCCACUUCCUUCAACGAGGCCACCAUCAACCGCCAGAUCAACCUGGAGCACUAUGCCUCCUACCUCUAUCUGUCCAUGUCUUAUUACUUUGACUGUGAUGAUAUGGCUUUGAAGAAUUUUGCCAAAUACUUUCUUCACCAAUCUCAUGAGGAGAAAGAACAUGCUGAGAAACUGAUGAAGCUGCAGAACCAACGAGGUGGCCGAAUCUUCCUUCAGGACAUCCAGAAACCAGACCAUGAUGAUUGGGAGUGCGGGCUGUAUGCAAUGGAGUAUGCGUUGUGAAUCAGUCACUACUGGAACUGCACAAACUGGCCACUGACAAAAAUGACCCCCAUUUGUGUGACUUCAUUGAGACACAUUACCUGGAUGAGCAGGUGAAAUCCAUCAAAGAAUUGGGUGACCACGUAACCAACCUGCGCAAGAUGGGAGCCCCCGAAUCUGGCAUGGCGGAAUAUCUCUUUGAUAAGCAUACCCUGGGAGACAGUGAUAAGAGCUAAGCCUUAGGCUAACUUCCCGAUAGCCACGGGGUGACUUUCCGUGGUCACCCAGGCAGUACCUGCAUGUUGGGGUUUCCUUUACCUUUUCUAUAAAUUGUACCAAAACAUCCACUUAAGUUCUUUCAUUUGUACCAUUCCUUCAAAUAAAGAAAUUUGGUACCC
This is an RNA transcript of Lemur catta (Ring-tailed lemur), 716 nucleotides long. It is a transcript of the gene named ferritin heavy chain-like, with no coding region annotated. The record is from RefSeq and is a predicted model, not a curated record. The transcript is spliced from 2 exons. Lineage: Eukaryota; Metazoa; Chordata; Mammalia; Primates; Lemuridae.